This 376-nucleotide ribosomal RNA is filed under the name uncultured bacterium. RNAcentral describes it as "bacterial SSU rRNA". It matches the Rfam family "Bacterial small subunit ribosomal RNA", at positions 524 to 898 of the family's 1533-position model. The record is from RNAcentral.
UACGUAGGUGGCGAGCGUUGUCCGGAUUUAUUGGGCGUAAAGCGCGCGCAGGCGGGCUGGUUAGUCCGGGGUGAAAUCUCACGGCUCAACCGUGAGCGGUCCCCGGAUACUGCCAGUCUUGAGGGAUCUAGAGGAGAGCGGAAUUCCCGGUGUAGUGGUGGAAUGCGUAGAUAUCGGGAAGAACACCAGUGGCGAAAGCGGCUCUCUGGGGAUCACCUGACGCUGAGGCGCGAAAGCGUGGGGAGCGAACCGGAUUAGAUACCCGGGUAGUCCACGCUGUAAACGAUGAGCACUAGCUGUCGGGGGUAUCGACCCCUCCGGUAGCGCAGCUAACGCGAUAAGUGCUCCGCCUGGGGACUACGGCCGCAAGGCUAAA